RNAcentral lists this ribosomal RNA (428 nucleotides) under uncultured bacterium. Its description in RNAcentral is "bacterial SSU rRNA". It matches the Rfam family "Bacterial small subunit ribosomal RNA", at positions 354 to 796 of the family's 1533-position model. The record is from RNAcentral.
GUAGGGAAUAUUGCACAAUGGAGGAAACUCUGAUGCAGCGACGCCGCGUGAGUGAUGAAGGCCUUCGGGUCGUAAAGCUCUGUCGUAUGGGACUAACACAAUGAAGGUACCAUGCAAGAAAGGAUCGGCUAACUUCGUGCCAGCAGCCGCGGUAAGACGAGGGAUCCUAGCGUUGUUCGGAAUUAUUGGGCGUAAAGCGGGUGUAGGCGGAUUUAUAAGUCAGGUGUGAAAUCCCAGGGCUCAACCCUGGAAGUGCACUUGAUACUGUAAGUCGUGAGUGUGGUAGAGGCUAUUAGAAUUCUUGGUGUAGUGGUGAAAUACGUAGAUAUCAAGAGGAAUACCGGAGGCGAAGGCGGAUAGCUGGGCCAACACUGACGCUGAGACCCGAAAGCGUGGGGAUCAAACAGGAUUAGAAACCCGGGUAGUCC